AAGUCGUAACAAGGUUUCCGUAGGUGAACCUGCGGAAGGAUCAUUAUUGAAUGAACUUGGUAUGAUUGUUGCUGGCCCGUCUGGGCAUGUGCACGUCUGCCAUCUUUAUCUCUCCACCUGUGCACAUAUUGUAGGUCUGGAAUAAAUUUCUGAGGCAACUCAGUGGUGGGGAAUGCUGCUGCGAAGUGGCUUUGCCUGUAAUUUCAGAUCUAUGUUUUCAUAUACACCAUAAAAAUGUAACAGAAUGUAUUAAUGGGUCUUGUACCUAUAAACUAUAUACAACUUUCAGCAACGGAUCUCUUGGCUCUC
RNAcentral lists this unclassified non-coding RNA (309 nucleotides) under Pholiota adiposa. Its description in RNAcentral is "partial internal transcribed spacer region". The stretch from base 1 to 46 matches the Rfam family "Eukaryotic small subunit ribosomal RNA", at positions 1786 to 1831 of the family's 1831-position model. The record is from RNAcentral. Lineage: Eukaryota; Fungi; Basidiomycota; Agaricomycetes; Agaricales; Strophariaceae.